RNAcentral lists this unclassified non-coding RNA (279 nucleotides) under Hevea brasiliensis (rubber tree). Lineage: Eukaryota; Viridiplantae; Streptophyta; Magnoliopsida; Malpighiales; Euphorbiaceae. The record is from RNAcentral.
GGUUAACGAAAUAAGUGAAGUUCAACCUCUUCCUUCUGUUUCUUUAAGCUCAGUGUUAUUUGUACCUGAAUGGCCAUACAAUUUGAUUUCCAUUAGCAGAUUAACAAAAAAUUAUUGAUUGUUUUGUCAUUUUUAUGGCUAAUUCUGUUAUUAUGCAAGACCGGGUAUGGGGAAGACGAUUGGAACAGGACAUGAGUCAUAAGGACUGUAUCAUCUAUCGAAUUCAAGCUCACUAGUUGCUUUUACUUUCGUUGUGUUUGCCUAUCUUAUCCAUAGCCG